This 73-nucleotide transfer RNA is filed under the name Paramuricea clavata. It matches the Rfam family "tRNA". Rfam says of the family: Transfer RNA (tRNA) molecules are approximately 80 nucleotides in length. Their secondary structure includes four short double-helical elements and three loops (D, anti-codon, and T loops). Lineage: Eukaryota; Metazoa; Cnidaria; Anthozoa; Malacalcyonacea; Plexauridae. The record is from Rfam by way of RNAcentral.
GACCACGUAGCUCAGUUGGCAGACCAUUGGACUACUAUCCCAAAGGUCGCGGGUUCGAUUCCCACCGUGGUCA